GUCUAUGGCCAUGCUACCCUGAACAAGCCCAAUCCCGUCUGAUCUCGGAAGCUAAGCAGGGUCGGGCCUGGUUAGUACUUGGAUGGGAGACCACCCAGGAAGACCAGGUGCUGGAGGCA
This 119-nucleotide ribosomal RNA is filed under the name Pteropus alecto (black flying fox). Lineage: Eukaryota; Metazoa; Chordata; Mammalia; Chiroptera; Pteropodidae. The record is from RNAcentral.